GAUGUUAAGAACAUCUGUAAUUUGUUAUUACUGACUUUUCUUUUCUUUUUAAAUAACCCUCAGCUUUGUUAAGAUAUAAUUAGUUAACUACGAUGGUCAAUAAGGAAUACCAAAGGAGACCACCUAGGACCGCAACUAGACAGGACUAGAACAUCUUCAGGAACCCAGGAAAUCACUGCUACCAAGUUGCAGAUGCUACCAUGAUGCCAACCUGACUUCCUUGGGUAGAGGACCUCUCCAAUGUGUCCUGGAACCCCAUCUCUGCAGAGCUCUGCCUCAUUAGGAAAAGAUAGAAACUGGGAGUUUGGAUCAACCUGCCAAUGCCCACAGCCAGCGAAGAAGCAAUUACAGAAGCCAGACCUACCACCUUCUGUACCCCAUAAUGAUCCUGGGUCCAUGUUCCCAGAGAGAUAAAGAAUAAGAAAGCUUUCAGUGGUGCAGAUGGGAUAUGAAAUUUUGGUGGUGGGAACUGUAACCCUCUUAUUCUACGGUCUUGUCAAUCAUUAUUAAAUCAUUAAAAAAUCAUUUAGGAUAGAGACAGAGAGAAAUUGAGAAGGUACCCUGCAGACAGAGACCAGGGACUUGAAUCUGAGUGCUUAUGGACUGUAACAUGUGCACUUAACCAG
This is a long non-coding RNA of Erinaceus europaeus (western European hedgehog), 626 nucleotides long. RefSeq lists it as uncharacterized. The transcript is spliced from 3 exons. Lineage: Eukaryota; Metazoa; Chordata; Mammalia; Eulipotyphla; Erinaceidae. The record is from RefSeq and is a predicted model, not a curated record.